RNAcentral lists this ribosomal RNA (747 nucleotides) under uncultured Fusobacterium sp. RNAcentral's name for it is "bacterial SSU rRNA". It matches the Rfam family "Bacterial small subunit ribosomal RNA", at positions 28 to 776 of the family's 1533-position model. The record is from RNAcentral. Lineage: Bacteria; Fusobacteriati; Fusobacteriota; Fusobacteriia; Fusobacteriales; Fusobacteriaceae.
GACGAACGCUGGCGGCGUGCUUAACACAUGCAAGUCGAACGGGAUUUAGUAAACAGAAGCCUCGGUGGAAGAUUACUAAUGAGAGUGGCGAACGGGUGAGUAACGCGUGAGCAACCUGCCUAUGACAGUGGGAUAGCCUCGGGAAACCGGGAUUAAUACCGCAUAAAAUCGUAGAAACACAUGUUUCAACGGUCAAAGAUUUAUCGGUCAUAGAUGGGCUCGCGUCCGAUUAGCUAGUUGGUGAGGUAAAGGCCCACCAAGGCGACGAUCGGUAGCCGGCCUGAGAGGGUGAACGGUCACAUUGGGACUGAGACACGGCCCAAACUCCUACGGGAGGCAGCAGUGGGGAAUAUUGGACAAUGGGGGAAACCCUGAUCCAGCGACGCCGCGUGAGUGAAGAAGUAUUUCGGUGUGUAAAGCUCUAUCAGCAGGGAAGAAAAUGACGGUACCUGACUAAGAAGCCCCGGCUAACUACGUGCCAGCAGCCGCGGUAAUACGUAGGGGGCAAGCGUUAUCCGGAUUUACUGGGUGUAAAGGGAGCGCAGACGGCAAUGCAAGUCUGAAGUGAAAGGCGUGGGCUCAACCCAUGAACUGCUUUGGAAGCUGUAUAGCUUGAGUGUCGGAGGGGUAAGCGGAAUUCCUAGUGUAGCGGUGAAAUGCGUAGAUAUUAGGAGGAACACCGGAGGCGAAGGCGGCUUACUGGACGACAACUGACGUUGAGGCUCGAAGGCGUGGGGAGCAAACAGG